RNAcentral lists this long non-coding RNA (331 nucleotides) under Helianthus annuus (common sunflower). Its description in RNAcentral is "sRNA HanXRQr2_Chr13g0617861". Lineage: Eukaryota; Viridiplantae; Streptophyta; Magnoliopsida; Asterales; Asteraceae. The record is from RNAcentral.
CAUGUUAAAAGAGAUGGAUAUCAUGAAGUGUCCAAUGCUGCAUAGAAUGUAUGGUCUUGGUGCAUUGAGUAUGUUCAAUGAUUACAUUUCAAUACCGAAAUUACGUUAGCAGGGACUUAAGACCAUGACAUCCUAAAGGAUCUUCUUUGUGAUGGAACAUUCACAGUUGACCAGGAAAAAAAUGAGAUAAGAGAGAUUUUAGCAGUGUAAGUUCCUUUCAGUCAAAAAAAAGAUAUGACUAGUGCAUAAUACAAUGACCUGGUUUUGACUAUUGGCAUUCAUGAUAUAACACAGGGUUUAUUCAUGUUGGAUUUGAUUUUUAAAGUUGCUU